Molecule: ribosomal RNA, 516 nt
Filed under: uncultured Glomus
Lineage: Eukaryota; Fungi; Glomeromycota; Glomeromycetes; Glomerales; Glomeraceae
Description: SSU rRNA
Rfam family: Eukaryotic small subunit ribosomal RNA
Source: RNAcentral
AGCAGCCGCGGUAAUUCCAGCUCCAAUAGCGUAUAUUAAAGUUGUUGCAGUUAAAAAGCUCGUAGUUGAAUUUCGGGAUUGACGUGAUGGUCAUGCCUUAAGGGGUAUGAACUGUCACAGUUGAUUUCUCACCUUCUGGAGAAACUUGAUGUCCUUUAUUGGGUGUCUUGCGGAUCCAGGACCUUUACCUUGAAAAAAUUAGAGUGUUUAAAGCAGGCAUUUUUGCUCGAAUACAUUAGCAUGGAAUAAUAGAAUAGGACGGCAUGGUUCUAUUUUGUUGGUUUCUAGGAUCACCGUAAUGAUUAAUAGGGAUAGUUGGGGGCAUUAGUAUUCAAUUGUCAGAGGUGAAAUUCUUGGAUUUAUUGAAGACUAACUACUGCGAAAGCAUUUGCCAAGGAUGUUUUCAUUAAUCAAGAACGAAAGUUAGGGGAUCGAAGACGAUCAGAUACCGUCGUAGUCUUAACCAUAAACUAUGCCGACUAGGAAUCAGACGAUGUUAAUUUUUAAUGACUUCGG